CAGCAGUGGGGAAUAUUGGACAAUGGGCGAAAGCCUGAUCCAGCAAUGCCGCGUGUGUGAAGAAGGCCUGCGGGUUGUAAAGCACUUUCAGUGGGGAAGAAAAGUGCAGCGCUAAUAUCGCUGCAUCUUGACGUUACUCACAGAAGAAGCACCGGCUAACUCCGUGCCAGCAGCCGCGGUAAUACGUAGGGUGCGAGCGUUAAUCGGAAUUACUGGGCGUAAAGCGUGCGCAGGCGGUUUUGUAAGUCAGAUGUGAAAGCCCCGGGCUCAACCUGGGAACUGCGUUUGAAACUACAAGGCUAGAGUGUAGCAGAGGGGGGUAGAAUUCCACGUGUAGCAGUGAAAUGCGUAGAGAUGUGGAGGAAUACCAAUGGCGAAGGCAGCCCCCUGGGUUAACACUGACGCUCAUGCACGAAAGCGUGGGGAGCAAACAGGAUUAGAUACCCUGGUAGUCCACGCUGUAAACGAUGGGCACUAGGUGUCGCGGGUAUUGACCCCUGCGGUGCCGCAGCUAACGCAUUAAGUGCCCCGCCUGGGGAAUACGGCCGCAAGGUUAAAACUUAAAGGAAUUGACG
This 575-nucleotide ribosomal RNA is filed under the name uncultured Sulfuricella sp. RNAcentral describes it as "bacterial SSU rRNA". It matches the Rfam family "Bacterial small subunit ribosomal RNA", at positions 349 to 915 of the family's 1533-position model. The record is from RNAcentral. Lineage: Bacteria; Pseudomonadati; Pseudomonadota; Betaproteobacteria; Nitrosomonadales; Sulfuricellaceae.